This is a small nuclear RNA of Nannospalax galili (Upper Galilee mountains blind mole rat), 106 nucleotides long. The record is from Ensembl. Lineage: Eukaryota; Metazoa; Chordata; Mammalia; Rodentia; Spalacidae.
AUGCUUGUCUGGCAGCACAUACACAAAAACUAGAAUGAUACAGAGAAGAUUAGCAUGGCCCCUGUGCAAGAAUAACACAAAAAUUCAUGAAGUGUUUUGUAUUUUU